AUUGGCUGGGGGAGGGCCCUGGGCUGUGAGGAGCUCUUUGAUUGGUCGAGAAGAGGAUGGCAGGUGAACAGCUCUCUCCCAUUGGCCGAUGCUUGGGUGUCAAAUCUCAACCUCGAUUUCCACUCGCUCCGAAAGUGCCGGCAGCCGCCUGCCCGCUGCCGCCUGCCCGCUGCCCCCCGGGGCUCUCUUGCUGCCCCUGGAGGUCCCUCCGUUGGCUCCCCGGUACCCCCGACCCAGCACCCAUGGGUGCUCCAGGAGGUUUCGUUUCGCCGCAUGCGGUUGGGAGGAUGACGUGUCCCGAGGUGGAAGGGGAAAGCGUCGGGGUCGGAGGCUUUUCUCCUGUCUGGUAAAGGUGGAGAGGUGUUAGGAGGACUGUGAGCUGGGCAGGAGAGGGACAGCACUUGGAAAUCACUUCCUGGGAACAACUGGAGAAAAGUGGAAAACACUCCUGAGCAAACUGAAGCUCUUGUUUGCAAUAAGUCCAAGUUUGCCACAGCCUCGGAAACAUCAGGGAAAGCUGAGGACAGCCCUGAGCGAGAGGUCUGUGAUGGUUUGCAAAAGAAGUAACAGCACUAGAAAUCCGGGACUGAGAGAUGGGGAAGGACUGGCGACCAGCCAAUGAAGAUGGCAACUCUGCCUGGAAGUACUGAGGACACAACCAGCUUUGAGCUUGGUCCUUCUGGCCGAGGAAGUCUCCCGAUUAUGCAGUGGAGCGGUAACUUUGCUUUCUCAUAUGGCAGGGAACAUUAUUCCAUUGCCUUUCAUCAUAUCCAGGCUUAAACAAGUUUAAGGAUGUGGCAGCAUAAAGCAUUUAAUCUGUGUUACUCACUCGCUGACAUCUCCAGCGUCAGGUCCGGUUGUUUAGCAACAACUGCUGGGUUCAGAACCGGCUCAGACACUCUGCGUCCGCCAUCUCCCUUCCUUCAGCACCAGCCUGGCCUCUGAUCAGCAGCCUGAGAGAGAGAGGGAGAGAGAAGGGCUCUGGUUACAGGCAUGCACCCACCCCGACCAAAUCUUGGGAUUUUGGUCCUUGGGUUUCCAAGGCCGCGGGCGCUGCGGUUCCAUCCCCGACUCCAUCCCUUGGUGCAGUACCCCAGAGGGGAGGAUGCCACCUCCAACAGCAGUGCGGUGGUAGCAACAGGGAGGGAAGAAG
Molecule: long non-coding RNA, 1153 nt
Organism: Calypte anna (Anna's hummingbird)
Lineage: Eukaryota; Metazoa; Chordata; Aves; Apodiformes; Trochilidae
Exons: 2
Source: RefSeq, a predicted model, not a curated record